AUUGAACGCUGGCGGCAUGCUUUACACAUGCAAGUCGAACGGCAGCACAGGGAGCUUGCUCCCGGGUGGCGAGUGGCGCACGGGUGAGUAAUACAUCGGAACGUGUCCUGUUGUGGGGGAUAACUGCUCGAAAGGGUGGCUAAUACCGCAUGAGACCUGAGGGUGAAAGCGGGGGAUCGCAAGACCUCGCGCAAUUGGAGCGGCCGAUGCCCGAUUAGCUAGUUGGUGAGGUAAAGGCUCACCAAGGCGACGAUCGGUAGCUGGUCUGAGAGGACGACCAGCCACACUGGGACUGAGACACGGCCCAGACUCCUACGGGAGGCAGCAGUGGGGAAUAUUGCACAAUGGGGGAAACCCUGAUGCAGCGACGCCGCGUGGAGGAAGAAGGUCUUCGGAUUGUAAACUCCUGUUGUUGGGGAAGAUAAUGACGGUACCCAACAAGGAAGUGACGGCUAACUACGUG
This 463-nucleotide ribosomal RNA is filed under the name uncultured bacterium. Its description in RNAcentral is "bacterial SSU rRNA". It matches the Rfam family "Bacterial small subunit ribosomal RNA", at positions 29 to 507 of the family's 1533-position model. The record is from RNAcentral.